MicroRNA precursor from Callipepla squamata (scaled quail), 75 nucleotides. It matches the Rfam family "mir-460 microRNA precursor family". The record is from Rfam. NCBI's taxonomy places the organism in Eukaryota, Metazoa, Chordata, Aves, Galliformes, Odontophoridae.
CUCCACAUUGUCCUCAUUGUACAUGCUGUGUGUAUUUCUCGCGUACACAGCGCAUGCAAUGUGGACAUAAUGGAG